AUACCUUUCUCGGCCUUUUGGCUAAGAUCAAGUGUAGUAUCUGUUCUUAUCAGUUUAAUAUCUGAUAUGUGAGCCAUCGAUAUUAAUCUAAUUUUUUCCAUGCGGGAGUUCCCAUCACAGUAGCUUGCUGCUGGGGUUCUCAUGCGUCGCCUUUGCGUUGCACUACUGCAAUGGCCUGGCGUACCCCCA
This is a small nuclear RNA of Papaver somniferum (opium poppy), 189 nucleotides long. RefSeq annotates it as U2 spliceosomal RNA. NCBI's taxonomy places the organism in Eukaryota, Viridiplantae, Streptophyta, Magnoliopsida, Ranunculales, Papaveraceae. The record is from RefSeq and is a predicted model, not a curated record. The transcript has a single exon.